AGGACUUCAAGGUAUAUGGAAUGGUUCCAA
This 30-nucleotide non-coding RNA is filed under the name Rattus norvegicus (Norway rat). Lineage: Eukaryota; Metazoa; Chordata; Mammalia; Rodentia; Muridae. The record is from RNAcentral.